RNAcentral lists this ribosomal RNA (194 nucleotides) under uncultured bacterium. RNAcentral's name for it is "partial 16S ribosomal RNA". It matches the Rfam family "Bacterial small subunit ribosomal RNA", at positions 1311 to 1500 of the family's 1533-position model. The record is from RNAcentral.
CUCGACUGCACGAAGCUGGAAUCGCUAGUAAUCGCGGAUCAGCACGCCGCGGUGAAUACGUUCCCGGGCCUUGUACACACCGCCCGUCACACCAUGGAAGUCUGCAAUGCCCGAAGCCGGUGGCCUAACCACUUAUGUGGAAGGAGCCGUCUAAGGCAGGGCAGAUGACUGGGGUGAAGUCGUAACAAGGUAUC